GUUGCCAAGGCCGCGCGGCCCUAGAGACCGGGUGCUGGUGGCACGCGCAAGCGCGGUGGCGAGCUGCGGUGCACUGUGGGAUGGGAGACCGGCGCGCCGGGACGGCGGGCAUCUCGGGGCACCGGGCAGAGGCGCGGCGCGCGAGGAGGGGCGCGAGCGGUCGCGGGCGGCAGCGCCAUGAACGCCGCAGUGGUGCGGCGGACGCAGGAGGCUCUGGGCAAGGUGAUCCGGAGGCCGCCGCUCACCGAGAAGCUGCUCAACAAGCCACCGUUCCGCUACCUGCACGACAUCAUCACCGAGGUGAUUAGGAUAACUGGCUUCAUGAAGGGCCUCUACACAGAUGCUGAGAUGAAGUCAGAAAAUGUCAAGGAUAAAGAUGCAAAAAUUAGCUUCUUACAGAAGGCCAUAGAUGUGGUCAUGAUGGUGUCAGGUGAACCCUUGGCAGCAAAACCAGCUAGAAUUGUGGCCGGGCACGAACCUGAAAGAACCAAUGAGCUGCUUCAAUUGAUUGGCAAGUGCUGCCUCAGCAAGCUCUCCAGUGAUGAGGCAGUGAAGAGAGUCUUAGCUGGGGACAAGGGGGACUCGAGAGGGCGGGCCCAGCGGACGUCGAAAGCACAAGAGCCCAACAACAAGAGUGGGAAGGAGGAAGAGUCCAGAAUACACAAAGAGGAUAAACGAAGCUCUGAGGCCAAGGAGAGAAGCGCAAGUGCAGAGCACAAACAGAAGGAGGAACUGAAGGAAGACAGCAAGCCUCGGGAGAAGGAGAGGGACAAGGAGAAGGCCAAGGAGGCCGACAGAGACCGGCACAGAGACCCCGACAGGGACAGAAACAGAGACGGAGAGCGAGAGAAAGCCCGAGCACGGGCCAAGGACAGGGACAGAAACAACAGAGACCGGGACAGAGAGGCAGAAAGGGACAGGGAGAGGGACAGGAGGAGCGAGGGCGGGAAAGAAAAAGAGAGGGUGAAGGACCGAGACCGAGACCGUGACAAGGGAAGAGACCGGGAACGGCGGAAAUCGAAGAAUGGAGAACAUACCCGGGAUCCUGACAGGGAGAAAAGCAGAGAUGCAGACAAGCCAGAGAAAAAGUCCUCAAGCUCAGGGGAGAUAUCUAGAAAGCUGUCAGAUGGAUCUUUCAAAGAUGUCAAAGCAGAGAUGGAGGCUGACAUUUCUGUGGGAGCAUCUAGGUCCUCGACGUUAAAACCAUCAAAACGGCGAUCGAAGCAUUCACUGGAAGGAAGAAGGGACUCUAGAGCCAGUGACAAUAACCCUUUCCCUGAAAAGGAACAUAAGGCUUCCUACCGUAAAGCUAAGAAGGACCAUAGCAUGAAGCAGCUUGGAAGGAAAGAGGAUAAUAUUUCAGCUAAGAUUUUAGACUCCAUAGUGUCGGGACUAAAUGACGAACCAGAUCAGGAAACGACCACUUCAGAAAUAGAUGAUAACUCAGCUAGUCUGUGGCGGGAGAGCGCUGAGCCAGAGCCAGCAGUAAAGCAGAAAGGUGACUCCCCCAGCGAUGCAGAAGUAGAAGCUGGACCUGCUGGCCAAGAUAAGCCGGAGGUGAUGGAGAAUGCGGAAGUUCCCAGUGAGCUUCCCUCCAGCCUCAGAAGAAUACCUCGGCCUGGGAGUGCACGGCCAGCACCUCCCAGGGUCAAACGACAAGAGAGCACAGAGACACUGGUGGUAGACAGGUCGGGAAGUGGUAAAACCGUCUCCAGUGUGAUCAUCGACUCCCAGAACUCUGACAAUGAGGAUGACGAGCAGUUUGUGGUGGAGGCUGCCCCUCAGCUGUCAGAAAUCGCAGACAUUGACAUGGUGCCGUCAGGGGAGCUGGAGGAUGAGGAGAAGCACGGUGGGCUCGUGAAGAAGAUCUUGGAGACGAAGAAGGAUUAUGAGAAAUUGCAGCAGUCUCUCAAGCCUGGUGAGAAGGAGAGAUCACUCAUCUUUGAGUCAGCAUGGAAGAAGGAGAAAGACAUCGUUUCCAAGGAGAUAGAGAAGCUCCGCGUGUCCAUCCAGACCCUGUGUAAGAGUGCGCUUCCCCUGGGAAAGAUCAUGGACUACAUCCAGGAGGACGUGGACGCCAUGCAGAAUGAGCUGCAGCUGUGGCACAGUGAGAACAGGCAGCAUGCCGAAGCCCUGAGCCAGGAGCAGAGGGUCUCACAGUUUAGCCUGGCUAGCCUGGUAUUCAUUUUGUAGACCAAGUUGGCCUUGAUCUCACAGAGAUCACCUGCAUUAUGAACAGUGUGAUUAAAGUAUCACAGACAGUGCGGUGGAGCCCCUGAAGGCCGAGCUUUCUGAGCUGGAGCAACAGAUCAGAGACCAGCAGGACAAGAUCUGUGCUGUGAAGGCCAACAUCCUGAAGAAUGAGGAGAAGAUCCAGAAAAUGGUGCACAGUAUCAACCUGUCGUCACGAAGGUGAAUGGCCAGUCCUGCAGAGAUGGAGCCAUCUUCCUCAUGACGGACAAGGGGCAGGAACCGCCCCUCUGAGCCCCAGUCUGCUGAGAAAUGGCCUGCUGUGCCCUGAGCCAGCUAAGGUCAGAUCUUUCGGUUUAGGCACUACAAUUAUUAAAAGGCUGUGUUUUCUUCCUUCCAGCUACAGUGCUUACUACUUAGAGCCUCCAGCUCGCCUUUGUGGGAGGGCUUAUUUCUUUGUUUGUUUUUUUUUUUUUGGCAAAUACAUUUCCUGCUGCAGCCUGGCUGACUCUGUACCCUGGUGUUCUGGAGGUAAGUUGUCUCAUCCUACUAGGUAAACAGCAGGCCCAGAGUUCUGCUUUUGAGUCUCCCAGGACUCCAUACUAGCACUGAGCAAAGGACAACUAUGAAUUUUUUGGUGGGUAUUUUAUAAAUAGAAUGAGGCCUAAAAUGGUUAAAUUGCCAUUUUCAUUUCUACCUGAGGGUGUCAUGUUAGCCCGUGUCCUUGUAAGGUGCCUGUCACCUGGGCGGGGUUGCUGCUCUCUUAUUGUAUAGGCUUCUUUCUGCAGCCUCCCCAUGACCCUGCUGUCUGCAUUUCUAGCCCUGAAAGCUCAUAGGUUGAGAAGGAGAAUUUAGCCCAGCCUUUAUGGGCAUUGUGUGAUGGGAACCUGCCUUGGCCACCGGCUUACUCCGGAUGGAUAAGCAGUCCCCCAGGCCUCUUUAAGAGGACAUUGUCGCAUGAAGGGCUGACAUGGCCCUUCUCUUUGGUGAAGGUGUGCUCUACAAGUUGGGAGUGAGGAGAGACUGAGAGGAAGAGAGUACUCCAAUUUACAUGUUGUGUUUGUUUUCCUUUUUAAAAGACCCUUUUCAAAAGCAAAGUUGUUUUUUUUUUAAUGGUUUAUAUUCAGUUUUUCACCUACUGUAAAUACUCAUUAAGGUCUUGAAUUACUGUAUGAAGGAUCUCACUGUGUCUGGAGAUGUUCUUACUGGCGUAAGGUCUGAAGUAGUCUUCCAUUUCUGGGUAUUUCUUUUGUGCACUGCAUCACACCCUGGGAUGUGUGAAGACUGCCUUAGCACACGAGGCACAGCCAGGGUUUCUCAGUCAGUGAAGGCAGAGCCCAGCUCUCGCCUGGGGGCCUGGACAGUGUGAGAAGCCCUUCAGCCCCUUAGUCUUUCCUGUCUGAAGCACACCGCACCACCCUGCCAAACAGAUGCUUCCAGAUAGGUUAGGGGAGGGAAGGAUUGCUUGUCAGCCAGCCUUUUGUGUGUUCAUGAGCUCUUUUCUACUGAAUUAAAUGACUUAGCCAUAACCCUAAGUGGACCCCAUAUAUACCAACGUAAUAUAUAUACAUAUAUGUAUAUAUACAUCCUUUUAUGAAUUUGUAUAUAUGAAUAGAAUUUUUAUGUUGAGAAAAUUACAUACAUUGUAUGUGAGUAAAUUUUUAUAUGCUGUAGUCAUCAGAUUGUAUCAUAAAGUUUUAUUUUUCUUUUAUAUGUAAAUCAUUAAAAUAAUCACCUAUUUUUCCUAUAA
This is an RNA transcript of Mus musculus (house mouse), 3940 nucleotides long. It is a transcript of the gene named TRAF3 interacting protein 1, with no coding region annotated. The record is from RefSeq and is marked validated. NCBI's taxonomy places the organism in Eukaryota, Metazoa, Chordata, Mammalia, Rodentia, Muridae. The transcript has 19 exons.